AUGUUGUUCAGGAAAACUUGGUACCCCUCAACCUCUGGCACAUCUGUUGUGGGUUCUCGUAUUGAUGGUGGCGUCAUGGUAGCAGCUGACUCACUUGGAUCAUACGGCUCCCUUGCAAGGUUUAGGGAUAUCAAGAGAGUGUUCAAGGUGACAGACAAAGCUGUGCUUGCCUGUGGUGGAGACAUUGCAAUUAUCAGUUCAUCAGAGAAGUCAUUGAGCAGAAAGUCUGAGAGUACAACAGAUAUUGUUCAUGACAAAGAUCUAGCUAAUGAGAACCAGUGGCGUGAUGAUGAGUGUGAGAGUACACACGAGUGCUGGAUGCAGGAGCCUUGCACUGCUGAGCCUACUGUAAAUGCAUGUAUGGUAUUACAGCUUCCUGGUUAUGUUGACAAGAUUGGAACAGCCUUUGAGGCCAAAGAAGUUGCAUCUGGCUUUGGUGUUCAUCUAGCCAUCCCCAUGAUCAGAGAGGCGGAGGGAGAAGAAACCAACUUUAACCAGGGAGGAUGCAGAGAAGCUCCUGAAAGAGUGUCUUACUGUGCUGUAUUACCGUGACUGCCGUGCACACUACAAGUAUCAGCUAGCAGACAUCACACCUGAAGGUGUUACCAUCCAUGACAACCUUAACCUCAAACCAGAGACUAACUGGACCAUUGCACAUCAUAUCAAGGGAUACGAGUAAUCUGUUGUGGAAUUCCGGUUCGCAGGCACGUAUAUUCUUGCAGUGAAUCUUAAUUUUUCUACAUGUCUGCUAUUUAUCAUAUAGACAUGUAAAUCACCAGUGGAUGUAUGUUUUUUCCUUUGUAUUUUCAUAUUCUCAAUUUCACAAUGCAUCUCUCAAUAAGAAUGUUUGUGGAUAUGUUACAAAUAUUCCUAUGUUUUGAGUUUUUAACAGAAUGUGAUGCCUAACAAAGUAAAGAAAAUAAAAACAGGAGUAUGUAAACUUUAAUAGAUAAAAGAUUUAAAAAUA
Non-coding RNA from Penaeus vannamei (Pacific white shrimp), 967 nucleotides. Lineage: Eukaryota; Metazoa; Arthropoda; Malacostraca; Decapoda; Penaeidae. The record is from RefSeq and is a predicted model, not a curated record.